GUGAGGAAUAUUGGUCAAUGGACGAGAGUCUGAACCAGCCAAGUCGCGUGAAGGAAGACGGUUCUAUGAAUUGUAAACUUCUUUUGUGCAGGAAUAAAGUGGGUUACGUGUAACCUUUUGUAUGUACUGUACGAAUAAGGAUCGGCUAACUCCGUGCCAGCAGCCGCGGUAAUACGGAGGAUCCGAGCGUUAUCCGGAUUUAUUGGGUUUAAAGGGUGCGUAGGUGGAUUGAUAAGUCAGCGGUGAAAGUUUGCAGCUUAACUGUAAAAUUGCCGUUGAAACUGUCGGUCUUGAGUGCAAAUGAGGUAGGCGGAAUGUGUUGUGUAGCGGUGAAAUGCUUAGAUAUAACACAGAACUCCGAUUGCGAAGGCAGCUUACUGGGAUGCAACUGACACUGAUGCACGAAAGCGUGGGUAUCAAACAGGAUUAGAAACCCUGGUAGUCC
RNAcentral lists this ribosomal RNA (445 nucleotides) under uncultured bacterium. Its description in RNAcentral is "partial 16S ribosomal RNA". It matches the Rfam family "Bacterial small subunit ribosomal RNA", at positions 354 to 796 of the family's 1533-position model. The record is from RNAcentral.